UACGGAGGAUGCAAGUGUUAUCCGGAAUCACUGGGCGUAAAGCGUCUGCAGGUGGUUUAAUAAGUCAAAUGUUAAAUCUAGAAGCUUAACUUCUAAACCGCAUUUGAAACUAUUAAACUAGAGUUUAGUAGAGGUAAAGGGAAUUUCCAGUGGAGCGGUGAAAUGCGUAGAGAUUGGAAGGAACAUCGAUGGCGAAAGCACUUUACUUGGCUAACACUAACACUCAGAGACGAAAGCUAGGGGAGCGAAUGGG
This 253-nucleotide ribosomal RNA is filed under the name uncultured bacterium. RNAcentral's name for it is "partial 16S ribosomal RNA". It matches the Rfam family "Bacterial small subunit ribosomal RNA", at positions 524 to 776 of the family's 1533-position model. The record is from RNAcentral.